This 360-nucleotide ribosomal RNA is filed under the name Porphyromonadaceae bacterium. Its description in RNAcentral is "bacterial SSU rRNA". It matches the Rfam family "Bacterial small subunit ribosomal RNA", at positions 1171 to 1533 of the family's 1533-position model. The record is from RNAcentral. Lineage: Bacteria; Pseudomonadati; Bacteroidota; Bacteroidia; Bacteroidales; Porphyromonadaceae.
AGGUGGGGAUGACGUCAAAUCAGCACGGCCCUUACGUCCGGGGCUACACACGUGUUACAAUGGCCGGUACAGAGGGAUGGUGUAAUGCAAAUUGCAUCAAAUCUUGAAAGCCGGUCCCAGUUCGGACUGGGGUCUGCAACCCGACCCCACGAAGCUGGAUUCGCUAGUAAUCGCGCAUCAGCCAUGGCGCGGUGAAUACGUUCCCGGGCCUUGUACACACCGCCCGUCAAGCCAUGAAAGCCGGGGGUGCCUGAAGUCCGUGACCGCAAGGAUCGGCCUAGGGCAAAACUGGUGAUUGGGGCUAAGUCGUAACAAGGUAGCCGUACCGGAAGGUGCGGCUGGAACACCUCCUUUCUGGAG